GACAGAGGGGGCAAGCGUUGCUCGGAAUCACUGGGCGUAAAGGGCGCGUAGGCGGGAUGGCAAGUCGGUCGUGAAAUCCUUCGGCUCAACCGAAGAACGUCGGCCGAUACUGCCGUUCUUGAGGGAUGCAGAGGAGAUUGGAAUUCCCGGUGUAGUGGUGAAAUGUGUAGAGAUCGGGAGGAACACCGGUGGCGAAGGCGGGUCUCUGGGCAUCUCCUGACGCUGAGGCGCGAAAGCGUGGGGAGCAAACGGG
Molecule: ribosomal RNA, 253 nt
Filed under: uncultured bacterium
Lineage: Bacteria
Description: partial 16S ribosomal RNA
Rfam family: Bacterial small subunit ribosomal RNA
Source: RNAcentral